CGUAGGCGGACUUUCAAGUCGGGUGUGAAAACUGACAGCUUAACUGUCAGCCUGCACUCGAUACUGUUGGUCUUGAGUACAGUAGAGGAAAGCGGAAUUCCAGGUGUAGCGGUGAAAUGCGUAGAUAUCUGGAAGAACACCAGUAGCGAAGGCGGCUUUCUGGGCUGAUACUGACGCUGAAGCGCGAAGGCUAGGGUAGCAAACA
This 205-nucleotide ribosomal RNA is filed under the name uncultured bacterium. Its description in RNAcentral is "partial 16S ribosomal RNA". It matches the Rfam family "Bacterial small subunit ribosomal RNA", at positions 570 to 774 of the family's 1533-position model. The record is from RNAcentral.